UGGUGGAAUGAUGAUGUCCAGAAGGCGCUUAAAGAGAAGAAAGAUUGCUUCAGACGCCUAUACCUGGAUAGGAGUGCAGACAACAUAGAGAAGUACAAGAUGGCGAACAAGGCCGCAAAGCGAGCUGUUGGUGAAGCAAGGGGUCGGGCAUAUGAGGACCUCUACCAACGGUUAGGCACGAAGGAAGGUGAAAGGGACAUCUAUAAGAUGGCUAAGAUCCGGGAGAGGAAGACGAGGGAUAUUGGCCAAGUCAAAUGCAUCAAGGACGGAGCAGGCCAACUCUUGGUGAAGGACGAAGAGAUUAAGCAUAGAUGGCGGGAGUACUUCGACAAGCUGUUCAAUGGGGAGAAUGAGAGUUCUACCAUUGAACUGAAUGACUCCUUUGAUGAGACCAGCAUGCGUUUUGUGCGGCGCAUCCAGGAGUCUGAGGUGAAGGAGGCUUUAAAAAGGAUGAAAGGAGGCAAGGCGAUGGGCCCUGAUUGUAUCCCCAUUAAGGUGUGGAAAGGUCUCGGGGACAUAGCGAUAGUAUGGCUAACAAAGCUUUUCAAACUCAUUUUUCGGGCAAACAAGAUGCCAGAAGAAUGGAGACGGAGUAUAUUAGUACCAAUCUUCAAGAACAAGGGGGAUGUUCAGAGUUGUACUAAUUACCGUGGAAUUAAGCUGAUGAGCCAUACAAUGAAGCUAUGGGAGAGAGUCAUUGAGCACCGCUUAAGAAGAAUGACAAGCGUGACCAAAAAUCAGUUUGGUUUCAUGCCUGGG
RNAcentral lists this ribosomal RNA (759 nucleotides) under Triticum aestivum (bread wheat). Its description in RNAcentral is "partial small subunit ribosomal RNA". Lineage: Eukaryota; Viridiplantae; Streptophyta; Magnoliopsida; Poales; Poaceae. The record is from RNAcentral.